Molecule: long non-coding RNA, 9685 nt
Filed under: Panax ginseng (ginseng)
Lineage: Eukaryota; Viridiplantae; Streptophyta; Magnoliopsida; Apiales; Araliaceae
Description: long non-coding RNA (PGIN_LNC005142)
Source: RNAcentral
UUAUUUAUAGAGUUUGUUGGAGUUACUAAUCUCAAUCAAUGCAGGAGUUGGCAACUCCUUAAAGCUAUCAAUGAAAUGCUAAAGCAAAUAUUUCCCAUCCGUAUUCUUUCCUUUUUUCAAUCCCAGUUUUAUUCCAUCUCAUUACUCCAUAAACCAAGUUCCUUAUGUAAUAAAAGCUUGACAAAACUCCUUAAGGGUCCGGUCAACCUAGCAGUUCGGCCAAGGAAGUGCAAGAUGGAUUGAUUUAAAAGGAAACUACAAAGAAGAGAAGUGGAGAGAGGACUUGCAAAUCAACACCAAAGUUAGCAUUUCAUUAAAACUCAAUCCUUAUAAGGUUAGUGUUAUAUUGUUUCAUUUGAAAUUAGAAAUUUUUGUAAGAGGGCUGCUGCGAUUUAGAUUAGUAAUUAGAAUGUGAUAUCUAUGUGAUAGUAAAAGGAGAAUAGUUGUUGUUGUGCGGAGUUAUAAGGAUGGCAAAUAUGGAUCAAACCAUAAGUUGAUUGUAAAUUCUGAAGUUUAAAGCAUGCAUACAUUAUGUUCGAAAAAUGUCCCCUUAGGGACUGUUUUGUUUAAACAUUGAAAUUGAUGCCAAUAGUAAAUGCAGGGAUACUAUAUGUAGAUAAUUAGAUGGUUUGUAUUGAUUAGAUUAAGUGGGAAAACUAUUUUAAAGAAGAACAAUAUGUUCAUAUUAACUAGAAAACUGUUUUAACAGUGUACUUUUGACGUUUUAGAAAGCCCAUUUAGAUUGCUUGUUUAAGGUAUAUUAUAUUUUCUAAAAAUACUUUGCUAUGUUCUCAAUAAUAUAACAAAGUUUCGCUUUAAGAGAAUGAGUGGUUUUUGAUUUAAAAAUUAGCAAAACAAGCAUUUCGUUCAUGGCAUGAUGGUUGUGCUGUGCUGCUGCAGCUGUUGUGAUAAGGCACAUUUGAAGCUCUAUAACACCUAUUUUAAAUGUUCAUUUAGGCUGUCUUUUAUUUUUGAAAAAUAGGUUGCCAUAUCGUGUACAAUAUAUUGAAAAUUGGUUACAAUUGGAUUUAAGGAUUAAAAGUUAGAAAUUAGCAAAGUUGGUACGUUGGAAUGGGAAGUGCUGAAACAGAGCUGUUUGCCCAAAUGUUUUGGCUAGGCUGCUGUGUGAUUAUAUGGGCUUGUUUUGAUAUUUUUUUAUGCUAAGCCAUGUGAAGUGUUUAUAAAAUUAUAAAAUGCAUAUAAGUUGGUAUAUUAAGCAUAAGUAAUAUAUAUUAUAGCAAAUAAAGAUUGUAAAUAUAGAAGAUUCAAUAAUGAAUGAGUAAGGUAUGAGAAUGAAAACUCAAGUUAUAAAUUGCUUGAUAUAAUGCAUGUGGGCUAUGUAAGUGUAUUGAUAAAGUAAAUUAAGUAUACAAUGUAUAAUAAUUUAUAUAUAUUCAUGAAAAAUGAGUAUAUUGAUCUAUCGAACUACUAGAAAUUAAUAAGACUUAUGUUAUAUGCAUAUGUAACAAGUCUAUUGAGGUAAAAAAGGUUAAAAAUAAGGAUGUUGAGCUUGAAAACCCUAAGUUUAAGUUAAAUUCAUGGAGUGUGGUAAUAUUAAGCAACAUAAUGACCUUAUCUAUGUUACAUAGGUACUUUACGGAAUCAUACCACUUCGAGUUCGUAUAAGCUCAUAGAAUUGAUAACUGGGCUUCAUGAAGGCAAGUUUUUCAGACCUACUUGUUAUAUGUACUUAUUAAUAUUUAUGUACCUUUGUGCUACAUUAAAAUCUAUUCUUGCUAAGAUCAAAGUAUGACCAAAUUGAAUUGAGUACGGAAACUCAAUUGAUGUGUUAUAUGCUACUUGAGAAAAAUAAUUAUUAUAUGAGCCAUGAGAUGCAAGUAAGAUUAAGUAUGUUAAAAGUGUGAACUAUGAUCAAUAUGAUGAUACAAGACAUGUACAAUAUUAAGCAUAGUGAAUCAUAAUGCAUGAUCUAAAUGUGAUACAUGAAGAGUAGAAAACAUGUCACAUUAUCCAAAAUAUAAUAAUCAUGUAUGAAAUGUAAUUUAUGUGUUAUCUGUUAGACUUGCUGAGCCGGCGUGUUCAACCUUGCAAAUAAUAUUAUUUGCAGAUUAAAGGAUGAACUAUCUGAUGAGUUUUGACAGUACAGAUUGGAGGAGUACUGAAAAGAAAAUGUAUAAUGAUUCCUUUAGUUGAACUUGUAUUAAGUAUAAGUGUCUGUUUGCAGUGUAAAUAACAUAAGUUGUAUUAAAACUUGAGUUAUGAAAUAAAAAUAUCAUAUUGAUGUUAAUUUAUAAAUUUACAGCUAUUUUGAACAGUAAAUUGAAGUGUUGACAAUAGUGUAUGAGAUGAUUUAUAAUUAAUAAAUUAUAAAUAUGGAAAAAUAGAAGAAUUAUUUCAUAUUGCAGAUUGAACUUAUGUUCAUAUAUUACCUUGUGAAAUAGAUCAUGGUAUUCAUGUGAUACUGAAUAUUUGUAUAGAUACUAAAGGUUGCAUCUAGAACUAAGAAAGGAUUGAGAUAACUAAAUUCUAAUAUGUAUACCAUUAUUAACUGUUAUGUACGGUAAAAAUAAAGUUGAGUGGUAAUAAGAAUUCAAGUUAUGAAAGAAAAUUAAAAAAAAAUUCAAUUUAUACGCAUUUAAGCAAUUAUAGUAGUGGUUAGUGUUGUAAAACUAGAAUGAGUUGGUUCUGUUAACGACCAAAGUCGGGAGAGACAAUUGUCCUAAUUUUGGGGGUCAUUACAAGUGGUAUCAAAGUUGUAGGUUAUAAACCUUAGGUAAGAGUACGUUAGGCUAUAACCAUAGUGAAGAAAGAUGAAAAUGAUGAGAAAUAAACUUGAAUAAAAGUUUAAGUAAAAUAGAAUGCAUUUAGAAACUUCCCAACGAAGUUAAAAUAUAAAUGAAUUCAUAAAGGAAGAGUUGAAAUAUAAACAAGAAGAUUCAAGGAAGAAUCUUGAAAAAUUAUAAAAGAUGAGAAUCAUGAGUUACCUAACUCCAGUAAUAAAGAUAAGAAGUGAUGGUAAAUAGACGAUAUCUACAAGGUAGAGAUGAUAAAAAUAAUAACAAUAAACUUAAAUAGAGUUUAGUUAAUAAUAAAUGAAUUUUACAAAUUCAUGUAAAAGGAGUUAAGAUCGUAUGAAAAUGUUCAAAGAAGAAUCUUGAAGAGCAAUAUGGUGAGGAUCAGGGGACACCUGAAUUAAAUUAUAGAAAUGUAAAGAAAUGAUGAUAAAUACAAGCUGAGAAGUGCAAAUGAAAUCAUAAUAUAACAUGAUUAAAGAGAUGGGCAAGAAGAUCAUGGGAUGAGACGAUUAUAGGGUAAGGAAAGAAUCGUGAUGUAAAACAAUUGUAAAAUAGAUCACGACGUGAUCGGAUUGAAUCGUGGAAUGACAGAUAAUCUGUUAAAACAAUUGGAAAGUUAUAGUCUGACACUAAAAAGAGAUAAGGUACUAUGAAAUAGUUCGAGGUAAAUUCAAGAAAAGUGAUAAAUGAUAAAAUACAGAUUAAAAUAAAUAAUAAAAAAAUAAUAGUUGGUGGAGAAAUAUGGGUAUUCCAAUUCUUCUAGCUAUGCUAGAUUUCAAAAUUUAUUGACAUCGUGCUGAUGUUUACAUUUUUGUGUCGUCGAAAAGUAUUUGAUCAAAUUAUUGAACCAAUAAGUUUUAAAAGUCAUAUUAUUCAUAUGUUUAUGCUAAUUGUUUUGGCUAGACAAAAAUGAUUUGAAAUUAUCAAAAUGUAUUUUAUAUAUCAUAUGCAUCACUGAACAUGGUGUAAAAAUGAUAAACGAUGGAGUUAUCAAUGCAAUCUAAUCUGGUGCUGGAUGUGAUCAUAGGAUCGUCAACCCACUAUGGUAUGUUGUAGCAUGACAAAUUCAUAAAACGAUUUUCAGUAUUUUGAACAAUUUAAAGAAAAUAUGCCAGUUGAGUUGGCUAAAAUAUUUUGAUUGAUGUUCGAAUUAUUGAUACAAGUCUAAGCUAUUUGAUUCAGUUAGACAAAUGAUGAGAUAUGUUAAUGAAAUUCAAGCAUUCUUUGAUAAUUAUGUCAAACCAGAUUGUUCUAGUGCGGAAUUUUGUAUUAAGUCUGUGGUGAACCAACCCUGUAAUAGGGGACAUGCUAUUGGAGGCUAUAGUUCCGAGCUACGCUUAUGUGUUAAUAUGUAUGUGCACAAUGCAUAUGUACAAAUGGCUGAUCACCUGGCGUACGAUGAUGGUUUGUCCAUAGUCUUUUGACUGUUAAAGGUAAUGAAUCUUUUAAUUCCUAGUUAUCCAUACUGCUUCACAAUUAUUGAACAAUUGUAGAAGACUCCUAUUGUUCUGGGAAACUGGAUGAGGGAAGGAUGAUAUUCCCUAGAAAAAAGUAAUCGUAGAAUGCGACAAGUUUAGAUGUAUUCUUAAAAGAAGAAGGUGUAAAGGAAAAAGUGAAGAAUACGUAAAAUGCAAUGAUUUUAGAAAGAUCCUUAGAAGUGAAAGUUGAUCAUAGAACCAGAUCAAUGAAUAAAGAUUAAUAUAAAAAUCUAAUUUGAUGAAUUGAAUUAACAACGAUUCAUGAGUUAAAAUUUUGAGGACGAAAUUCUUAGAAGAAGGGGUGAAUGUGGUAUCCCAAAUAAUCAUGAGUUUAGUAAACGAUGAUAUUGAACUAGUAUGACGAUACAGGCUUAAAGUGAUUCGUAGAAAAAGGAGGUUGAUGGGCUAUGGAAAAAGAAUUAAUAAUAUUCAAAAUGUAAUCGAAUCCAAAUGAAGGUUAUGAAAGGAAAUCUAUAAGUAUUAGCUAAGGGAUUGAAUAAGAUGGGUAAUAUAAAACUAAUAUUAAAGUGAUAUGUUGAAAUGAUUCAAGUUGUCAAGAUUUCGGAAGAGGAUAGACGUAGACCGAGUAAGGAUGUUCGGUGUUUGUGAUUCCGAGGACGGAAUCCUUAUAAGAGGGGAAGAAAUUUCGAAAAAAAUAUUAAAAUAAGAAUUAAAUAUAUAAAUUUUUAUUGUGAGACAUAAUGUGUUUAAAUAUAUAAAUAUAUGUGUUAUAUAUAUUUAUGUGAUUUAUGUAUACAUUUAUUGAAAAGUUAGAUUUAAUAGUGGAUUUAAUUAGUGAAUUAGUUAACUUGAGUUAAUUGCGAAAUGAGAAUUAUGUUGUUAUAAUGUAACAUAUAAUAGUAUAAUAUUUAUUAUUAUACUAAAGAGAUGUGAGUAAAAAUAUGAGAUGAGCAACCAAUAUGCUCGAAUAUUGGUGUUAAAAUUAGUAAAGUUAAUUAAUAUUUAAUUUAUGAUUAAAUAUAUGAGUUAAAUAAAUUGUUUUGAAGCAAUUUAUGGAAAGAAAGAGAAAUUUUAAUUUAAUUUAAUUAUACAAUAUUAAUUGUAUAAAUUGAAUAAAUUAUUCUUUAAUGUAACCUUCAUUACACAAGAAUGUUAAAUUAAUUAUGGAUUAAUUCCAUAAUUCGGGAAAUAAUUUGUAUACAUGGUUAUAAAUGUAUAAUAUCUAAUUUUAGUUAAUAUUGGAAUUAUAUGCAAUUAAAUACAUAAAUUAAUUUUAUGUGGGUAUUGGAAAUUUAGUAUAUAUAAUGUAAUAUAUACAUAUUAUACAUAAAAUAUGUGGCGUGUUGGGUCAUUAAACAACUAACCAAGUCAUGAUGUUGAAUAUGUAUUAAAAGGCUAAGUUCACUUUGCUGAGAAUUGAAGUAAUGAGAAUAAGCCCUAUGGGUGAGUCAUUAGGGGCUACAGCAGGAUGUGGCAUAUCUUUAGGAUAUUAGGAUGACACUUAGCAACCAAGUCUGAUAAUUAACAAAGAGGUUGGGAAUGCUAGACUAGACUAUUAUCAGUUACAAAUAAACCCAAUUCUCAGCCCUCACUUUUUUCUCCCAUCCGUUCCAUUCUUCUUCCUCUCCCAAAUUGCUAUGCUCUCUCCAUAAACAAAGAAACUACAUAAACUCUUUAGGAAUUGAAAUUAGCAAUUGAAGUGAAGGGAGUAUUGCAUCAAAUUGCUGUUAAGGGAUAUUGAAUUCAAUCAACAAGAAGUUUGGAGCAAGGAUUGAAACAAGAAUUCAAAUAAGAACAUCAAACAAGAGGUAUUAACCUUUAUUUGUUAAAGUUCAUAAAAAUUAGAGUAUUAAUGUCUUAUAUUUAUAAAAUUGUUGUGCUUGGACUAUGAGAAUUGAUGUGAUAUAGAUGGUAAGUGAUGCUUGGAGUGAUAAGGAUGAAGAAUUUCGAAAAUUCUUGCUAAACCAUGUUUAAAAGCUUGUGAAAACUAGAAAUUUAUUUGUGUGCAAGGUAUUUCGAAAAUUCUUGCUAAACCAUGUUUAAAAGCUUGUGCAAGGUAUUUAAAAAUCGAAAAUUAAGCAAAGCUUUUUAUAUAUGUAUUAUGAUGUUAACUAAGUUGAUUGAGUGAAUCAAAUCAAGCUCAAAUCACGUUUUAAAGAAUUUCUAAAAACUUGAAUUGAAUGAAAAACUGAGAUGAGGGGGCAUAUUGGAGCUUCUGUAAUAUCAUCUUAAUGAACCCAAAUUGUUCAUGCUAUAUUUUUAUAAAAUAGUAUGUAGUACCAAGUAUAAUAUAUCAAAAUUUGGAAGCAAUUGGAUUAGUAGAUUGUGAGAUAUAAAAUCACAAAGUAGCCAAGAAAUAACAAAACAAUCUGGAAAUCUGGGCAGCCCCAUGUUCCAGAUUUUGGGAAAAAGCACAUUUACCUCAUUGUGGUCGUCGUGUUUUAAGAAAUUAACCACUGUACUUUAAAAAAAAUGCAAUUGACCCACUGUGAUUUUUAAAAAUGCUUAGUUGGACCAUUCUGUCAAAUUUUUUGGACGGACUUUACAUUCUAUCUUCUAUUUUCAUACUUAGCUUUUUAAAAAAAAUAAAAAACAAUUAAAUGCUGAUUUGGCUUCCAACUUGAUUUUUUCACUCUUUCCUCUCAUUCAUCUUACCCUCAUCUUUAACCCAGAUCCAAACAAGAAACAACACUUCAAACUCAAAAUUUACAAGUAACAAAAUGAAAUCACAACAAAUAAACAACUAAAAAUAGAAAAACUUGCAAACAAACAAACAAUCUAUUUCGCUAAAUCUGAUUGUUCUCCGAUUAAAUCAAAUCAAAUCUCACCACGAAAAACUUGCAAAUUUUUGGAGAAAAUUCUAAUUCAUGAAAUCAAAGAGAGAAUCAGACAAACCUAACAAGAUUGGAGAAGAAGAAAGUAAGGUAAAAUUCUCCGAUAUUGAGAAUCAGACAUACUUAAUUCUUUUUCAAGCACAUGACUAAACACCCAGUAUGAGAUUGACUUGCCGGAGAAGAUAAAAUAAUCGGAGAAGACAAGCACAUUUGUAUAUCAUAUGUUUGCACACACACACACACACACACACACACACACACACACACAUAUAUAUAUAUAUAUAUAUAUAUGGAAGUAUUUAUGAGCAUGAAUUGAUAAUUGGGGUUCUUUGUUAUUGAUUAGAUGGGAUUAUCGCCAUUAAUGGCGUGAGAAGGAGAGGACCCCAAAACAGAGAAGGGCAAAAUAAUUACAAAGACACAUGAAAAAAGAAGAUAAAAUUAGACUGUAGUGGAGGAAGAUGAUGAGAUGAAGGAUUUGUGGGUAAUGGAAUUAAACCCAGAUCUAAAGGAACUAAUCCAGGUGAAGAAAGAACUCAGAGAAGAGAGAGAAAUAAUAGGUAAAGAAAAAGAAAGAAAAUAAAGCAUAAAAGUAUUUUUAUUUGUAAAAUUUUUAUAAGUAUUUUAAAACAUAAAAGUACUUUUAUUUUUAUUUUUAAAAUAAAACAUACAUUUUUAAAAUAAAAUAUAUAUUAUAAAUAUUAUAAUAUUAAUUUUUAUUAAUAUUAUACAUAUUAUAAAUAUUUUUUACCUCAUUUUUAGCAUUUGCAUACCAUAUCCACGUGUGUCUGAUUAUUUGAUUCCACGUCAUUUCCUUGGAUUUCUUUUUUUAAAAUGUCAUGUAAGAAUAAAUAAACACACAUCCACUAAAUUUGACGAAAUAGCCCAAUUAAGCAUUUUUAAAAACCACAGUUGACCAAUUGCAUUUUUUUAAGUACAAUGACUCAAUACUUACAACUCGACGAACAAAAUGGGGUAAAGGUGCUUUUUGUCAAUUUUCAAGUAUUAGGAAUUUGGCUGACUGGCUUGCCACGUAGGAAAUAACUUGAUUUGUUUUUUUUUUUCAAAAGCCACGUAGGAAAAUUGGUCCAAUUUCUUAACGACAGUGAGCAAAAUUAGACGGAAUGGCUUGAUUAACAAUUUUUAAAAAACACAGUGGGUCAAGUGAAUUUUUUUAAAGUACAGUGGUUCAAUGCUUAAAACACAACGAUCACAAUGGGGUAAAGGUGUUUUUUCCCUCUAGAUUUUUAUUUUUGAUUUAUUAGUUUUGCCAUUGAGUGUUUAUUUACUAAUUUAUUACAGUUUUGCCCCUGAGUGUUUAAUUAGUUAAAAAUUAAUAAUAAAACAUGUUUUAAUACAUAAGUUAAUCUAUAAAUUAUGCUAAUAACCUAACAUGAUUACUAAGUUAAGAUUAUGAAAUUAACCUUUGAAAUAUGGAAAUUUAAACCAUAUUUGUGGAAUAUAUUACCGUUAAGCUAUGUAAUAACUUUAAUUACAUUACAUAAGCAUACACGAGAUAUUAGAGAUAUAAAUAACCUUUGAAUGGAACUAAUUAACCUAAUAUGGUUAAUAAUGAGAGAUCAAAUUGUUAAUCUAGAUGUAUUCAAGUUUUGGUUAAACCAAAGAACGUGUUACAUAUUAAGCUAUAAGCUUUAUUACAUAGGUAAUACACAUGAUAUUAAUGAUGCGAAUUAGCAACAACAUAAUGAAAUUCAUUCUGAAACGGAUUAAAGAUUAGUUAGUUAAUCUAAAACAAGAUGGAAUCUUAAGAACUCAAGAUCUUAAAAGUAUGAAGUUGGUAUGUGGAAUGUUGAUAAUGACGCGUUAUGCAAACUAAAGAUUAUAAAUCAAUUUAGUUAUGUGAAGUUUCAUAUGAGAUUAUGAAGCAUAUUAUAAUUCAAUGUGCUAUAUAUAGAUUAUACAAAGACGAUUAAGGAUCGGACGAGGUAAUUCAACAAAUGAGAAUACGUGAAAUGUGUUAUAUAUAAAUUAUACAAAGACGAUUGAGGAUCAGACGAGGAAAUUCAACAAAUGAGAAUAUGUGAAGGAUGCUCGAUGAGCGUAUAUCGAUUUAUGCAAUCAAAGGCAAGUUUUUCAGUUUACUCGUGUUAUGUGAACUUGAUAUUAGUUAUGUGUGUAUUAUAAUGAAGUCUUGAUGAGUAUGUGGAAUUACAUGUUUUGGAUUGUAAUGUUAUAUGAAUUGUUGAAGUUAAAUUAUGACUGAAGUUAAUUGAGUUAUGGAAACUCAAUUUAAUUGUGUUAUGCGAUUGAAAUUUGUAAGAAAUUUUAAGUUUGAUAACAUAUGAUGUAUGAUCUAAUUAAAUGAAAUAUGAUGAAAUUGAAAGCUCGCAUAUAAAUUAUACAUGAUGAGAUGUAUGGAGCAUAUCUAAACGCAUUGCAUAAGUUUAAUGAUGCAUAUAUAGAAUGCAUAGCAUGAGCAACAUAAUGCAUGACUGAAAUGCAUAUUAUGUAUAAAUGUGAUACAUGAAAACUGUUAGACUUGCUGGGCCGUUGUGCUCAAACUUGCAAUUAUUUGCAGAUUAAAGAUGCGAUGCAAUUCUUACUAUCAUGAUUAUAAAGAUUAUCAUGAUUAUAAAGAUUAGAGGUGCGUGAAAAGGAAUGCUUUCAUUUGUUUUCUUUAGUUGAAAUUAUAUUUAGU